Molecule: ribosomal RNA, 217 nt
Filed under: uncultured Leptolinea sp.
Lineage: Bacteria; Bacillati; Chloroflexota; Anaerolineae; Anaerolineales; Anaerolineaceae
Description: partial 16S ribosomal RNA
Rfam family: Bacterial small subunit ribosomal RNA
Source: RNAcentral
AGGAAGGUGGGGAUGAUGUCAAGUCAGCAUGGCCUUUAUAUCCUGGGCUACGACACACGCUACAAUGGCCAACACAAUAGGUGCUAAGCCGCGAGGUGGGCGCCAAUCCAUAAAGUUGGUCUCAGUUCAGAUUGUAGGCUGCAACCCGCCUGCAUGAAGAUGGAGUUGCUAGUAACCGCAGGUCAGCUAUACUGCGGUGAAUACGUUCCCGGGGCUU